Molecule: ribosomal RNA, 502 nt
Filed under: uncultured bacterium
Lineage: Bacteria
Description: partial 16S ribosomal RNA
Rfam family: Bacterial small subunit ribosomal RNA
Source: RNAcentral
GACGAACGCUGGCGGCGUGCUUAACACAUGCAAGUCGAACGGUGAAGGGGUCUGCUUUUGUGGGCCCUGGUUGAGUGGCGAACGGGUGAGUAACACGUGAGUAACCUGCCCCCUUCUUCUGGAUAACCGCAGGAAAGUGUGGCUAAUACGGGAUAAUCUGGGUCUGUCGCAUGAUGGGUCUGGGAAAGAUUGCGCCUUUGGGUGGUUUCGGUGGGGGAUGGGCUCGCGGGCUAUGGGCUUGCUGGUGGGGUGAUGGCCCAGCAAGGCGGUGACGGGUAGCCGACAGGAGGGUGUGCCCGGUCACACUGGGACUGAGGCACAGCCCAGACUGGUAGGGGGGGGAGGAGUGGGGUAUACUGCACGAUGAGCGCAAGCCUGAUGAAGCGGCGCCGCGUGAGAGAGCGUGGCCGUCGGGUUGUAAACCUCUUUCGACAGUGAAGCAGGCCUGCUACUUGUCGGUGGGUUGACGGUAGCUGGAGAAGAAGCGCCGGCUAACUACGUG